CAAUAGCGUAUAUUAACGUUGUUGCAGUUAAAAAGUUCGUAGUUGGAUUUCUGGAGGGAGCGUCGGCCCGUAUUUACGAGUGCGUGACGUCUCUGUCCAUCCUUGCGGGAAGGCACGGCAUUGAUUUGUUGUGUCGGAUCGCAUCAUUUACUGUGAAAAAAUUAGAGUGUUCAAAGCAGGCUUUCGCUUGAAUACAUUAGCAUGGAAUAAUAAGAUAGGACUUUGGUGCUAUUUUGUUGGUUGAGCCUAAAGUAAUGAUUAAUAGGGAUAGUUGGGGGCACCUGUAUUGCGUUGUCAGAGGUGAAAUUCUUGGAUUUACGCAAGACAAACAGCUGCGAAAGCGUCUGCCAAGGAUGUUUUCAUUA
RNAcentral lists this ribosomal RNA (365 nucleotides) under uncultured eukaryote. Its description in RNAcentral is "partial 18S ribosomal RNA". It matches the Rfam family "Eukaryotic small subunit ribosomal RNA", at positions 592 to 975 of the family's 1831-position model. The record is from RNAcentral.